This 253-nucleotide ribosomal RNA is filed under the name uncultured bacterium. RNAcentral's name for it is "partial 16S ribosomal RNA". It matches the Rfam family "Bacterial small subunit ribosomal RNA", at positions 524 to 776 of the family's 1533-position model. The record is from RNAcentral.
UACGAAGGGGGCGAGCGUUGUUCGGAAUUACUGGGCGUAAAGGGCGCGUAGGCGGCCGAUCAAGUCAGAUGUGAAAGUCCUGGGCUUAACCUGGGGACUGCAUUUGAUACUGAUUGGCUUGAAUUCGGGAGAGGAUAGCGGAAUUCCCAGUGUAGAGGUGAAAUUCGUAGAUAUUGGGAAGGACACCGGUGGCGAAGGCGGCUAUCUGGACCGACAUUGACGCUGAUGCGCGAAAGCGUGGGGAGCAAACAGG